RNAcentral lists this ribosomal RNA (253 nucleotides) under uncultured bacterium. Its description in RNAcentral is "partial 16S ribosomal RNA". It matches the Rfam family "Bacterial small subunit ribosomal RNA", at positions 524 to 776 of the family's 1533-position model. The record is from RNAcentral.
UACGUAGGGGGCUAGCGUUGUCCGGAAUCAUUGGGCGUAAAGAGCGUGUAGGCGGUCCGGUAAGUCCGCUGUGAAAGUCGGGGGCUCAACCCUCGAAUGCCGGUGGAUACUGUCGGGCUAGAGUGCGGAAGAGGCGAGUGGAAUUCCUGGUGUAGCGGUGAAAUGCGCAGAUAUCAGGAGGAAUACCAGUGGCGAAGGCGGCUUUCUGGGCCUGUUCUGACGCUGAGGAGCGAAAGCGUGGGGAGCAAACCGG